This 265-nucleotide long non-coding RNA is filed under the name Physcomitrium patens. RNAcentral's name for it is "long non-coding RNA (PPAT_LNC010581)". Lineage: Eukaryota; Viridiplantae; Streptophyta; Bryopsida; Funariales; Funariaceae. The record is from RNAcentral.
CUCAAUCAAGUCCUAAUUUAAUCUUAGUUGAAACCUUAAUGGACUUUAAUCAAAUCCUAGGCCAAAUCCUAAACUCUAAGCAAACCUUAAAUCUUAAUCCUAAGUAAAUUUUAAAUCCUAAAUCCUUAACACAUCUUAAAUCUUAAAUCCUUAAAAAAUCCUAAAUCAAACCUUAAACUAUAAUCUAAUUCUAAAUCCUAAUAAAACUUUAAUCAAAUUUGAAAUCCUAAUCCAAUCCUAAUCCUAAACCAAAUCCUAAACCAAA